AACGAACGCUGGCGGCAUGCCUAACACAUGCCAGUCGAACGAGACCUUCGGGUCUAGUUGCGCACGGGUGCGUAACGCGUGGGAACCUGCCCUUAGGUUCGGAAUAACUCCCCGAAAGGGGUGCUAAUACCGGAUAAUGUCUUCGGACCAAAGAUUUAUCGCCUUUGGAUGGGCCCGCGUUGGAUUAGCUAGUUGGUAGGGUAAAAGCCUACCAAGGCGACGAUCCAUAGCUGGUCUGAGAGGAUGAUCAGCCACACUGGGACUGCGACACGGCCCAGACUCCUACGGGAGGCAGCAGUGGGGAAUAUUGGACAAUGGGCGAAAGCCUGAUCCAGCAAUGCCGCGUGAGUGAUGAAGGCCUUAGGGUUGUAAAGCUCUUUUACCCGGGAUGAUAAUGACAGUACCGGGAGAAUAAGCUCCGGCUAACUCCGUG
This 433-nucleotide ribosomal RNA is filed under the name uncultured bacterium. Its description in RNAcentral is "partial 16S ribosomal RNA". It matches the Rfam family "Bacterial small subunit ribosomal RNA", at positions 29 to 507 of the family's 1533-position model. The record is from RNAcentral.